AUACGUAGGGGGCGAGCGUUGUCCGGAAUGAUUGGGCGUAAAGGGCGCGUAGGCGGCCCGGUAAGUCUGGAGUGAAAGUCCUGUUUUUAAGAUGGGAAUUGCUUUGGAUACUGUCGGGCUUGAGUGCAGGAGAGGUAAGUGGAAUUCCCAGUGUAGCGGUGAAAUGCGUAGAGAUUGGGAGGAACACCAGUGGCGAAGGCGACUUACUGGACUGUAACUGACGCUGAGGCGCGAAAGCGUGGGGAGCGAACAGGAUUAGAUACCCUGGUAGUCCACGCGGUAAACGAUGAAUGCUAGGUGUUGCGGGUAUCGACCCCUGCAGUGCCGGAGUAAACACAAUAAGCAUUCCGCCUGGGGAGUACGGCCGCAAGGUUGAAACUCAAAUGAAUUGGCGGGG
Molecule: ribosomal RNA, 397 nt
Filed under: uncultured bacterium
Lineage: Bacteria
Description: partial 16S ribosomal RNA
Rfam family: Bacterial small subunit ribosomal RNA
Source: RNAcentral